GUCUAUGGUCAUGCUACCCUGAACACACCCGAUCACUUCUGAUCUCAGAAGCUAAACAGGGUCGGGCCUUGUUAGUACUUGGAUGGGAGACCACCUAGGAAGACCAGGUGCUGUAGGCA
RNAcentral lists this ribosomal RNA (119 nucleotides) under Pteropus alecto (black flying fox). Lineage: Eukaryota; Metazoa; Chordata; Mammalia; Chiroptera; Pteropodidae. The record is from RNAcentral.